RNAcentral lists this ribosomal RNA (505 nucleotides) under uncultured bacterium. RNAcentral describes it as "SSU rRNA". It matches the Rfam family "Bacterial small subunit ribosomal RNA", at positions 26 to 518 of the family's 1533-position model. The record is from RNAcentral.
AGGACGAACGCUGGCGGCGCGCUUAACGACAUGCAAGUCGAGCGAGAACCAGGCCUUCGGGCCUGGGGAAAGCGGCGAACGGGUGAGUAACACGUGGGUAACCCACCCUUGGUACCGGGAUAGCCCGAGGAAACUCGGAUUAAUACCGGAUGGCCCAACAGCUCUUCGGGGCGGUUGGAAAAGGUAGCUUCGGCCUCCGACCAAGGACGGGCCCGCGGCGGAUUAGCUUGUUGGUGAGGUAACGGCUCACCAAGGCGACGAUCCGUAGCUGGUCUGAGAGGACGAUCAGCCACACUGGGACUGAGACACGGCCCAGACUCCUACGGGAGGCAGCAGUGGGGAAUCUUGCGCAAUGGGCGAAAGCCUGACGCAGCGACGCCGCGUGGGGGAAGAAGGCUUUCGGGUUGUAAACCCCGUUUCAGGAAGGACGAAGCCACUCGGGUUAAUAGCCCAGAGGGUGACGGUACUUCCAGAAGAGCCCCGGCUAACACGUGCCAGCAGCCGC